RNAcentral lists this ribosomal RNA (83 nucleotides) under Cnidium monnieri. RNAcentral's name for it is "partial 5.8S ribosomal RNA". It matches the Rfam family "5.8S ribosomal RNA", at positions 73 to 153 of the family's 154-position model. From Rfam's summary of the family: 5.8S ribosomal RNA (5.8S rRNA) is a component of the large subunit of the eukaryotic ribosome. Lineage: Eukaryota; Viridiplantae; Streptophyta; Magnoliopsida; Apiales; Apiaceae. The record is from RNAcentral.
UGCAGAAUCCCGUGAACCAUCGAGUCUUUGAACGCAAGUUGCGCCCAAAGCCACUAGGCUGAGGGCACGUCUGCCUGGGUGUC